Mus musculus (house mouse) is the source of this 3392-nucleotide long non-coding RNA. RefSeq annotates it as predicted gene 12984. The transcript is spliced from 3 exons. The record is from RefSeq and is a predicted model, not a curated record. Lineage: Eukaryota; Metazoa; Chordata; Mammalia; Rodentia; Muridae.
CUCAGCAGGUAGCAGAAUCUCAGGGCAGUUGUCACUUCAAAAAGGAGCCAGCCAAGUCGGAAAGCUGCACCACAGCUGGCCCCACCUCAGUGGCCACAAGGUUUGUACCAGCCCUCUUCAGGCUGGGGGAGGCUACACUGUCCCCUCUUCUUGAAUCCUGGGAUUACAGCAUGUACCGUUGUACCCAGUUUUAUGCCAUGCUAAAGACUGAACCCACGGCUGCGAGCAUGAGCAUGCCAGGCAACCACUCCACCAGCUGAGUAACUACAUCCUCCCUGUCUAGGGCUUUAAAUCAUACCGACUGACUAAAGUCAAGACCCUCCUGCCUCUGCCUCCUGAGAACGGGAUUAAAGGUUCGUGCCUUUAAUCCUGACUCAGAAUUCUUAGCGUUCAUUAGGUGUGGACUUUUGAUAAAAAUGUCCCACUUAUGGUAGUGUCUCCUCCCAGGCCUCUCAGCUUGGGAAGUGCUCCUCAGUUGGCAAAUGGAGGCACUGAGUCUUGGGAAGGGGUGGAGACUUAUUCCAGGUCACUCAGCAAGCCUGAUGCCCCAGCUGAGGCCCGGAUUCUAGACUCCUCCCUCUCCUGGCUGACCUCUGCCUCUGGGCUUCUUGCCAGCCACAAGCACUAAGGCCAAGCAGGACACACAGCCAUCUUAGUGCGGGCUCCCAGGCAGAAGCCAACACAUUUAGCACACUUCUUUCUUAACCUGGUUGGGUGGCUUUUAGCAGCCCAAAUAUAUACAUGGGGAAACUGAAGUUCAAAGAGGGCAAGAACUUUGCCUAACGAGAUAAGGGGUCGCCUUAGAAUGAGCAGAAUGUCCAAAAUGAGCCAUCGGGAGGAAGAAAGCGGGGCCACAGGGAGGAAGGAGAAUUACAUCGCCGUAAACAAUGAACAAUGUUUUCGGGUGUGUUCAAGAGCACCCGGAACUGGCCCCAUGCCAGAGAAAAGUCAGAGGAAGCAAACAAAUCCUUUGCAAAACCCAAAGCCAACUGUGGUUCCCCCAAUUCUGCUUAGGGGUAGGGCAGGAGGUCCUAUAGGGCGAUCCUAUAGGUUGGCUAUCAACCAAUUGGAUCCCUGGUGUGAGUGCUCUGGCCAAUAGGGACUGGAGCUGGCAUUUACACCUUGUAAGGUGGACUGUAGCAGCCCAAGGAUCACCAGGAAGGAGCCAGGGAUCCGUUGGGUUCUGUCAGUUAAAACUUUGCAUAACGGCCUCAGCCACAGACGUGAGCUAGUUCUGGAGAAAGGAUGACGUAAGGGUCCUGGAACAAUGGGAAGCCAGGGACAAAGGAUGGUGUUGUGCGUGGUUGCACAAGGACCCUGAUGGGUCACAUCAGGAUCACAUCCCGUGUCUGAGCUGGCCCAGUCGGUUUGUUCCUGGCAAGUGCAUUCAUGUGUAGGUGUUGAGAUGGAUUCCUGUUUGUGUGCCUGUACUCAGAAACAUGCCUCCCAGUCAUUCACUCAGCCAGUCUGGCGGUGUGCGUUGAGAGCCGGCGGGCGCUAAGCCUUGUCCUGGGCCAUGGACUGAGGUCAGGAGAACAGAAAGCGCAGCAGAAAGUGCACAACCGGCCUCAGUUUCCCUGUCUCCAAAACAAGACACUUUGUCUCAAACUUCUGGAGGUGCCUCUGAGUAGAAGUGUCUGUGGUGUAUUAGGCUGUGAGCACUCCUUGUCUGUCAAGCCUGCAUCUCUACCUCAGACUCCUGGACAGGGGCUGGGAAGGAGACCGGGAACCGGAGAGCCUGGGUGGUUGGGUGGCAAUGGGCUCGGGUUGCAAGCUGGCCUGGCCUGCCAGCUGGCUUGUCCUCAGCCCCUCAGUGUGCCUUUGUCCUUCCCUGGUCAUUGCUCAGGGUCCCUACUUGGCUCAGAGCAGUCUCAUCUGACCUUGGACUCACCGUGUGAACCUCCAGCUUGACCCCUAGGCAUGCUGGGAUCCUGGAAUACCAAGCGAAGUUCAGAUACCAGCAUUUUCCAUCUGUCUUAUCUCAGGCAAGCUUUUUACUCUCCCCUGUGAAACGAGGGAGAGAUACCCACCCCUCCAGCUAACGGGAUGAGAAAUGGCUUGUACGUUAAGCAUUCUGCUUCGAAAUGAGCAAAGCUGUUAUUACAGACCCCUGAUGAGUCUCUGUCCCACCUUUGGGGGUGGGUGAUAAAGGCAACAGACCCAGCAAACCUUGGAGCCUGCUCAGCUCCGCCUCUCUCUGGAUGGAAGACUUCAAGCAAAUCCCUUCCUUUGCGGACCUCCUCUUCCUCGCAGAAGCAGAGGCUGGGGGCCUUUUGCCUUCUGUCUCCCGGGCCUCUGAGCAUUUUGCCUCAGGAGGUAUUGCCUGAAUGACCUGUUCCAUUAAAGCAUUUCCUGACCAAGACUGAUUUAAGCAAUUCUGGUUAGUUCUGGAAAUUCCAGACAGUAAGGGAAAACCUGAAGAGCUUCUGGGCGGGGCUCACAUCUCUCUUUCCCUCCUUCCAGAAGCACCCCCUCCCUCAAGUGAUGGGGAUGAUACGAAGGAUGAGAAGGGAUCCUGUUUGCCUCUGAGUGGAGUGGGGUGGGGCCUUUGUUGGUCCCUGGCCCCCUAAAACCAUUGCAGCCCUCAUGGGGGUGAAAGGAAGAAAGCACGAGUGGAACUCAUGGGGAGCGAGCCAUCUUGAGUCUGGCAGGCCUGGAUUAAGAAUCUGGGGCCCCACUGGGUGUGUGGUGGCACACACACAGCACUCUGGAAGCAGAGGCAGGCAGAUCUCUGUGAGUUCAAGGCCAGCCUGGUCUACAGAGUGAGUUCCAGGACAGCCAGAGCUAUGCAGAGAGACCAUGUUUAAAACAAAAACAAACACCCUCCCCCAAACAAACAAAUAACGAAGGAGAAUAAGUAAAUAAAGAUGAAGACAGGAUGCUGGCCUCCCACCCACUGCCUUCUUCUCAGUCAGUUGUCCAGUGUGUGUCUGACUCACUCCCCUUCGCCCUACCUCCUUCACACUGUGGCGCCUGCCCAGCUUGACUGCUGUCCCCAAGGAGAAUCCAGAGAAAACAUUAACCCGAAGCCAUGGAGUGCAUCUAUGGAGUUCCAAGGUAUGCAACCCCAGAGUCUCAGCCCGUGGGAAGCCAAGCCAAGUAGACAAACCAGUGUAGACAGGCUGGUGGUCAGCUCUGUCAUCAGACAGCUUUGCUCACUUCCCCAGGCCUUGCGUCCACACGUUGCAAACAGUGGGACUGUGAGGAACGAGUAGGUGCUCAGGUGCCUGGAGACAGAGGUGUCUUUAGUUCCUCGGUCACCUCCCACCCACCUCGAGACCUUUAAAAGCCUGCAGUUGCCAGCACUCAGAAGAAAGGCUGUGACACCCGGACACCGAUGUGUGCAUAAACCCAGCACCAGGGAGGCCAAGGCAGGAAGAGAACCGCUCAGA